GGAAGGUGCAAGCGUUAAUCGGAAUUACUGGGCGUAAAGCGCGCGUAGGCGGUUAGAUAAGUCGGGUGUGAAAGCCCCGGGCUCAACCUGGGAACUGCAUUCGAUACUGUCUGGCUAGAGUGUGAUAGAGGGAGGCGGAAUUCCGCAUGUAGCGGUGAAAUGCGUAGAGAUGCGGAGGAACACCAAUGGCGAAGGCAGCCUCCUGGAUUAACACUGACGCUGAGGUGCGAAAGCGUGGGGGGAGCAAACAGGAUUAGAUACCCUGGUAGUCCACGCCCGUAAACGAUGUCAACUAGCCGUUGGGAGCAAUUUGGCUCUUGGUGGCGUAGCUAACGCGAUAAGUUGACCGCCUGGGGAGUACGGUCGCAAGAUUA
Molecule: ribosomal RNA, 374 nt
Filed under: uncultured organism
Description: partial 16S ribosomal RNA
Rfam family: Bacterial small subunit ribosomal RNA
Source: RNAcentral